UGCCAGCAGCCGCGGUAACACGGGGGGCGCAAGCGUUAUUCGGAAUUACUGGGCGUAAAGCGCACGUAGGCGGACUAUUAAGUCAGGGGUGAAAUCCCGGGGCUCAACCCCGGAACUGCCUCUGAUACUGGUAGUCUUGAGUUCGAGAGAGGUGAGUGGAAUUCCGAGUGUAGAGGUGAAAUUCGUAGAUAUUCGGAGGAACACCAGUGGCGAAGGCGGCUCACUGGCUCGAUACUGACGCUGAGGUGCGAAAGCGUGGGGAGCAAACAGGAUUAGAUA
This 279-nucleotide ribosomal RNA is filed under the name uncultured bacterium. RNAcentral describes it as "partial 16S ribosomal RNA". It matches the Rfam family "Bacterial small subunit ribosomal RNA", at positions 506 to 784 of the family's 1533-position model. The record is from RNAcentral.